This is a long non-coding RNA of Etheostoma spectabile (orangethroat darter), 84 nucleotides long. RefSeq lists it as uncharacterized. The record is from RefSeq and is a predicted model, not a curated record. The transcript is spliced from 3 exons. Lineage: Eukaryota; Metazoa; Chordata; Actinopteri; Perciformes; Percidae.
UUUCCAAUAUUUUAACGCUCAAGUUGUAUUUGAGACUCAAAGUACUCCGGUGGUAACUCAAUUCACAUCGACAGUACAUGCAAA